UGCGUCUGGCCCAGGGUUUGGGCCACUUGGAGAGGCUGGACGCCAGAAGUUUGACUGUGUGUACCCCAUGGCUCGCUGCGCUUGGUGUCAGCUGUGACAUCACAAGGCAAGCUUCCAGAUGGCACCAACUGGGCCCUUUAUCAGUGGUUUCAGCCUCGAUGCCAAAACAAAAUGUGCCCAGCAGCCUGAUCAAAAUUUACAUGCUGAGGAGUUGCCUCCUGUGAAUGAAGUUCAGCAGAGAAUCGGUGAAUUAAUAGCCGUUCCAGGUGGAGAACGGGGUCCAUUCGACCUAGAAGCUUUGGCAGAGGGAGCAGACACAUAUUCACAAUGCUGAUUUCAUUACCAAACAACUGGCAACUGGCUUGCACCUCCACACCAACCAUUUCUGCUUCCUGCUGUCAUUUCCUUGGCUCCUUUUCAGGCACACUGUCACUUGUGGCAUGACCUUGGCCGAGCAGCUAAUUUGCUGCUUCUAUUGAAGGACAGGACCAGCCAUUCUGAUGCCCUUGACAAAGUUAGUAUUUUCACUUUAGAGCAAAUUCAAAUGAAUGGUAAUUUCCUAUCCUA
Mastomys coucha (southern multimammate mouse) is the source of this 567-nucleotide long non-coding RNA. RefSeq lists it as uncharacterized. The transcript is spliced from 3 exons. The record is from RefSeq and is a predicted model, not a curated record. NCBI's taxonomy places the organism in Eukaryota, Metazoa, Chordata, Mammalia, Rodentia, Muridae.